RNAcentral lists this ribosomal RNA (115 nucleotides) under Bacillus cereus IS195. Lineage: Bacteria; Bacillati; Bacillota; Bacilli; Caryophanales; Bacillaceae. The record is from RNAcentral.
CGGCUUUGAUGGCAGAGAGGUCACACCCGUUCCCAUACCGAACACGGAAGUUAAGCUCUCUAGCGCCGAUGGUAGUUGGGACCUUGUCCCUGUGAGAGUAGGACGUUGCCAGGCA